UCCGGUUGAUCCUGGCGGAGGCCAUUGCUAUUGGGAUCCGAUUUAGCCAUGCUAGUUGUACGAGUUCAGACUCGUAGCGAAUAGCUCAGUAACACGUGGCCAAACUACCCUUCGGACCGUGACACCCUCGGGAAACUGAGGUUAAUCGCGGAUACCGCACUCACACUGGAAUGUCGAGUGUGGCAAACGCUCCGGCGCCGAAGGAUGUGGCUGCGGCCGAUUAGGUAGACGGUGGGGUAACGGCCCACCGUGCCGAUAAUCGGUACGGGUCAUGAGAGUGAGAACCCGGAGACGGAAUCUGAGACAAGAUUCCGGGCCCUACGGGGCGCAGCAGGCGCGAAACCUUUACACUGCACGCCAGUGCGAUAAGGGGAUCCCGAGUGCGCAGGCAUAGAGCCUGCGCUUUUCCGAACCGUAGGGACGUUCGGGAACAAGGGCUGGGCAAGACCGGUGCCAGCCGCCGCGGUAAUACCGGCAGCCCGAGUGAUGGCCGAUCUUAUUGGGCCUAAAGCGUCCGUAGCUGGCCGCACAAGUCCAUCGGGAAAUCCACCCGCUCAACGGGUGGCCGUCCGGUGGAAACUGUGCGGCUUGGGACCGGAAGGCGCGACGGGUACGUCCGGGGUAGGAGUG
RNAcentral lists this ribosomal RNA (630 nucleotides) under uncultured archaeon. Its description in RNAcentral is "bacterial SSU rRNA". It matches the Rfam family "Archaeal small subunit ribosomal RNA", at positions 1 to 634 of the family's 1478-position model. The record is from RNAcentral.